CCCAUAUCUUCCACAUCUCCUUCCUCACGUAGUGGUCCCUGUGUAGUCUGAGUGUUACUGUCAAUAGGUCCUGAUGCUGUACCGUCAUUCUGUUGAUCUGUUGAAAAAAAUGCACGUAAUUUAAGUUGGCGAAAAAACUUAUUUUUUUUGGGGAUUAACCUCGAAUACCGGCACCUUGUUGUGAUUGAGUGCCAGCACACUUG
This is a non-coding RNA of Pelobates cultripes (western spadefoot toad), 203 nucleotides long. NCBI's taxonomy places the organism in Eukaryota, Metazoa, Chordata, Amphibia, Anura, Pelobatidae. The record is from the annotation of a GenBank genome assembly.